CCUACGGGGGGCAGCAGUGAGGAAUAUUGGUCAAUGGGCGCGAGCCUGAACCAGCAACGUAGCGUGAAGGAUGACUGCCCUACGGGUUGUAAACUUCUUUUAUAAAGGAAUACAGUGAGGCUCGUGUGCCUUUUUGUCUGUACUUUAUGAAUAAGGAUCGGCUAACUCCGUGCCAGCAGCCGCGGUAAUACGGAGGAUCCGAGCGUUAUCCGGAUUUAUUGGGUUUAACGGGAGCGUAGAUGGGUUGUUAAGUCAGUUGUGAAAGUUUGCGGCUCAACCGUAAAAUGGCAAUUGAUACUGGCAGUCUUGAGUACAGUUGAGGUAGGCGGAAUUCGUGGUGUAGCGGUGAAAUGCUUAGAUAUCACGAAGAACUCCGAUUGCGAAGGCAGCUUACUAAACUGCCACUGACAUUGAUGCUCGAAAGUGUGGGUAGCAAACAGGAUUAGAUACCCGUGUAGUC
Molecule: ribosomal RNA, 460 nt
Filed under: uncultured bacterium
Lineage: Bacteria
Description: partial 16S ribosomal RNA
Rfam family: Bacterial small subunit ribosomal RNA
Source: RNAcentral